This 81-nucleotide antisense RNA is filed under the name Alishewanella agri BL06. RNAcentral describes it as "antisense RNA of dnaA mRNA". It matches the Rfam family "antisense RNA of dnaA mRNA". The record is from Rfam by way of RNAcentral. Lineage: Bacteria; Pseudomonadati; Pseudomonadota; Gammaproteobacteria; Alteromonadales; Alteromonadaceae.
CUUGGCAUCAGGCUUUUUCGCCAGAAUACCGUUUCCUACCGCAUGUAAUAAGUGGGUUUUACCCAGACCAGUACCGCCAUA